Molecule: long non-coding RNA, 721 nt
Filed under: Mytilus galloprovincialis (Mediterranean mussel)
Lineage: Eukaryota; Metazoa; Mollusca; Bivalvia; Mytilida; Mytilidae
Source: RNAcentral
UUUUUUUUUCGAAAGUGAAUAUUUCCGAAGGGUUAAAUAUUUUGCAGUGGUGACUUGCCAUGGCUUUGUUUGGACUUGUUUGUUUGCUUUUUGGCCUUGAAUGUUUGUCCCUAAUAUUUUAUUAACUGUGCAUUUGCAUUCAGAUAUCGCAGGUCAAAUUUAUUCGUUUAUAGGGUAUUAAUGUACGUUUUUUGAUUGAGUUAAGCUUGCCAAUUGAUAUUUUAUAGUGUGUUUUUCUAUGUUGUGAUGUUAUGCUAUUGUUUCAGAAAAAGGGAGAAGGUUUGGAUCCAUUAAAACGUUUAAUCCCGCUGCAAAUGUUUGCACCUGUCCUAAGUCAGGAAUCUGAUAUACAGUAGUUGUCGUUUGUUUAUGUAAUUUAUACGUGUUUCUUGUUUCUCGUUUUUUUAAUUUUAUAUAGAUUAGACCGUUGGUUUUCCCGUUUGAAUGGUUUUACACUAGUAAUUUUGGGGCCCUUUAUAGCUUGUUGUUCGGUGUGUGCCAAGGCUCCGUGUUGAAGGCCGUACAUUGACCUAUAAUGGUUUACUUUUUUAAAAUUGUUAUUUGGAUGGAGAGUUGUCUCAUUGGCACUCACACCACAUCUUCCUAUAUCUAUAUAAUAGGAGGGAGAAUGAUGCUACCCUCAAUAAUUAAAAAAAAAUAGAUUUCAUGUAUACAGUUUACAUUAAUAAAAUGAGGUAUCAAAAGUCAAGUUGAUUGAACC